UCUUGCAAACUAAAGAUGGCGACCGGCGCACGGGUGAGUAACACGUAUCCAACCUGCCGAUAACUCGGGGAUAGCCUUUCGAAAGAAAGAUUAAUAUCCGAUGGUAUAUUAAAACCGCAUGGUUUUACUAUUAAAGAAUUUCGGUUAUCGAUGGGGAUGCGUUCCAUUAGUUUGUUGGCGGGGUAACGGCCCACUAAGACUACGAUGGAUAGGGGUUCUGAGAGGAAGGUCCCCCACAUUGGAACUGAGACACGGUCCAA
Molecule: ribosomal RNA, 260 nt
Filed under: uncultured bacterium
Lineage: Bacteria
Description: partial 16S ribosomal RNA
Rfam family: Bacterial small subunit ribosomal RNA
Source: RNAcentral